Molecule: ribosomal RNA, 410 nt
Filed under: Salmonella enterica subsp. enterica serovar Heidelberg
Lineage: Bacteria; Pseudomonadati; Pseudomonadota; Gammaproteobacteria; Enterobacterales; Enterobacteriaceae
Also listed under: 14 other names
Description: bacterial SSU rRNA
Rfam family: Bacterial small subunit ribosomal RNA
Source: RNAcentral
AACUCAAAGGAGACUGCCAGUGAUAAACUGGAGGAAGGUGGGGAUGACGUCAAGUCAUCAUGGCCCUUACGACCAGGGCUACACACGUGCUACAAUGGCGCAUACAAAGAGAAGCGACCUCGCGAGAGCAAGCGGACCUCAUAAAGUGCGUCGUAGUCCGGAUUGGAGUCUGCAACUCGACUCCAUGAAGUCGGAAUCGCUAGUAAUCGUGGAUCAGAAUGCCACGGUGAAUACGUUCCCGGGCCUUGUACACACCGCCCGUCACACCAUGGGAGUGGGUUGCAAAAGAAGUAGGUAGCUUAACCUUCGGGAGGGCGCUUACCACUUUGUGAUUCAUGACUGGGGUGAAGUCGUAACAAGGUAACCGUAGGGGAACCUGCGGUUGGAUCACCUCCUUACCUUAAAGAAGC